This 402-nucleotide ribosomal RNA is filed under the name uncultured prokaryote. RNAcentral describes it as "bacterial SSU rRNA". It matches the Rfam family "Bacterial small subunit ribosomal RNA", at positions 355 to 774 of the family's 1533-position model. The record is from RNAcentral.
UGGGGAAUAUUGGACAAUGGGGGAAACCCUGAUCCAGCCAUGCCGCGUGAGUGAUGAAGGCCUUCGGGUUGUAAAGCUCUUUUGGUGGGGACGAUGAUGACGGUACCCACAGAAUAAGCUCCGGCUAACUUCGUGCCAGCAGCCGCGGUAAUACGAAGGGAGCUAGCGUUGUUCGGAAUUACUGGGCGUAAAGGGCGCGUAGGCGGUCCGAUAAGUCAGAUGUGAAAGCCCUGGGCUUAACCCGGGAACUGCGUUUGAUACUAUCGGUCUUGAAUUCGGUAGAGGUUGGUAGAAUUCCCAGUGUAGAGGUGAAAUUCGUAGAGAUUGGGAAGAAUACCCGUGGCGAAGGCGGCCAACUGGACCGACAUUGACGCUGAGGCGCGAAAGCGUGGGGAGCAAACA